This 253-nucleotide ribosomal RNA is filed under the name uncultured bacterium. RNAcentral describes it as "partial 16S ribosomal RNA". It matches the Rfam family "Bacterial small subunit ribosomal RNA", at positions 524 to 776 of the family's 1533-position model. The record is from RNAcentral.
UACGAAGGGGGCUAGCGUUGUUCGGAAUUACUGGGCGUAAAGCGCGUGUAGGCGGCUAUGUAAGUCGGGCGUGAAAUCCCAUGGCUCAACCAUGGAAGUGCACCCGAAACUGCGUAGCUAGAGUCCUGGAGAGGAAGGUGGUAUGCUUGGUGUAGAGGUGAAAUUCGUAGAUAUCAAGCGGAACACCGGUGGCGAAGGCGGCCUUCUGGACAGUGACUGACGCUGAGACGCGAAAGCGUGGGGAGCAAACAGG